Molecule: ribosomal RNA, 495 nt
Filed under: uncultured bacterium
Lineage: Bacteria
Description: partial 16S ribosomal RNA
Rfam family: Bacterial small subunit ribosomal RNA
Source: RNAcentral
GACGAACGCUGGCGGCGUGCCUAAUACAUGCAGGUAGAACGCUGAAGGAGGAGCUUGCUUCUCUGGAUGAGUUGCGAACGGGUGAGUAACGCGUAGGUAACCUGCCUGGUAGCGGGGGAUAACUAUUGGAAACGAUAGCUAAUACCGCAUAAUAUUGACUAUUGCAUGAUAGUCAGUUGAAAGGUGCAACUGCACCACUACCAGAUGGACCUGCGUUGUAUUAGCUAGUUGGUGGGGUAACGGCUCACCAAGGCGACGAUACAUAGCCGACCUGAGAGGGUGAUCGGCCACACUGGGACUGAGACACGGCCCAGACUCCUACGGGAGGCAGCAGUAGGGAAUCUUCGGCAAUGGACGGAAGUCUGACCGAGCAACGCCGCGUGAGUGAAGAAGGUUUUCGGAUCGUAAAGCUCUGUUGUAAGAGAAGAACGAGUGUGAGAGUGGAAAGCUCACACUGUGACGGUAUCUUACCAGAAAGGGACGGCUAACUACGUG